RNAcentral lists this ribosomal RNA (253 nucleotides) under uncultured bacterium. RNAcentral describes it as "partial 16S ribosomal RNA". It matches the Rfam family "Bacterial small subunit ribosomal RNA", at positions 524 to 776 of the family's 1533-position model. The record is from RNAcentral.
UACGUAGGAGACGAGCGUUGUCCGGAGUUACUGGGCGUAAAGUGUGCGCAGGCGGCACCGCAAGUCGAGUGUGAAAGCCCCGGGCUUAACUUGGGAAUUGCGCUCGAAACUAUGGUGCUGGAGUGUGGCAGAGGAAGGUGGAAUUCCGGGUGUAGCGGUGAAAUGCGCAGAUAUCAGGAGGAACACCGGUGGCGAAGGCGGGUCUCUGGGCCGAUACUGACGCUGAGGCACGAAAGCGUGGGGAGCAAACAGG